AUUGAACGCUGGCGGCAGGCCUAACACAUGCAAGUCGAACGAGUGGCGGACGGGUGAGUAAUGGCUGGGAAACUGCCUGAUGGAGGGGGAUAACUACUGGAAACGGUAGCUAAUACCGCAUACCAUCGGAUGUGCCCAGAUGGGAUGAGCUAGUAGGUGGGGUAAAGGCUCACCUAGGCGACGAUCCCUAGCUGGUCUGAGAGGAGGACCAGCCAAGUUGGAAAUGAUACACGGUCCAGAUUCCUACGGGAGGCAGCAGUGGGGAAUAGUGAACAAUGGGCGCAAUCCUGAUGCAGCCAUGACGCGUGUGUGAAGAAGGCCUUCGGGUUGUAAAGUACUUUCAGCGGGGAGGCGUUACCCGCAGAAGAAGCACCGGCUAACUCCGUGCCAGCCGCCGCGGUAAUAC
Molecule: ribosomal RNA, 406 nt
Filed under: uncultured bacterium
Lineage: Bacteria
Description: partial 16S ribosomal RNA
Rfam family: Bacterial small subunit ribosomal RNA
Source: RNAcentral